ACCUGGUUUUCACUCUGAGUAACAUGAGGAACUCCUGGAGGGUUUGAAAAGUUGACUGAAAGGAUGUGACUUCUAUUUUCAAAGUUCCCCUCUGGCCCUUAGGUGGAGCAUGGACGAUAGGACAGUGAGCUCAGAAGUGGGUGACAGGAGCGAGGAGGUUGCAAUCGUAAUUCAAGAAAGAGAUGGCGGUGGCUUGGGUGAAGGAGAUGUGGUAGCUGGGGAGGAGGGGUGGAAUGGUCAAAUUCUGGAUGGAAUAUGACUAAUAAUGGACUGCACUUCAUAGAAUUCUUGUUGCAAGGAGUAAAUGAGUUAACACAGAUAAAGCAUUUCCAAUACUGUCCUAAAACAUUCACAGUGAUUUCUGGUGAUUCGGACUGUGGGCUCUGGCGUCGAACUGCCUGAGUUUGGAUCCCAGCUCGGUCACUUCCUACUGAACAUAGGGUGCGGAAGCCAGCCCUAGAGCGGCUAUGGGUCCGAGAGGAAUCUGUGGCCUGCAGGAACCAGACCCACAUCCCAUCUCCUGAUUCCCACUUCUGUGCUCCAUUGCCAGUGGGCUCAACCGAUUAACACAAAGACUGAAUAUCUCAAUACCCUUAACAUUUAGACUCACAUUAACUCUGCACUGCAGACCACAUUUGGAGGCUCGAGGAGUAGCAUUGUUGGGGAAUAUUCAGUUCAUAGGGAAACAAGAAUUUUGGACUUGUAGAGAGAAAUGUCUAAGUAUCAAGUAAUGCUCUAAGGACUUUUUCUUCAUUAACAUUUUGUUAUUAAUUAAUUUUAAAUUAUCAUUCUAUGAUUAAUUUCCAUGCUUUCUUUCCAGUCCCACUGUCCAGCGUCACGUCUUAACUGGUCUCUCUGCCCUCUAUCUUACCCACAUCAAAUUCAUCUUACACACAAUUACCAAAAAUAUCUUUCUAACAUGCUAAUCUGAUCAUGUUACUUUCUUUCUUGAAAACCGCUUCUUCUUUGAUGUGGUGACAUCCUAAAAUCCCAGUUGUACUACAGAACGUCUCUCCCUCCACUACACCUGUUAUGACCUCUCUGGCUUCAUCUCCCAUUAUUAGUCCCCUUGUUCUACAAGUUACAACCACAACCAUUUAUUUUUUCCUCCACACACUCAUCAUCGCUUCACACAUGGAGCCCCGGGCACAUACAGUACCUCUUGUCUGGAAAACCCUAAUGGUACUUCUGUACCUGGAAAACUCAAGCUUCAAGAUUCAUCCUAAGAAUUGCCUCUAUCAGGGAAACUUUCCUUUUCUUACCUUUAUCUAGAAAUUGUCACAUUCCACCUGUGAAUCUGCACCUGGGACUGGAUCUCCCAUCAGUGAACCUUUCUAGGCCAGGCCGGUAUUAUACUUUCUCAACCCCCAUAAUGCCUGACACAGGGCUUGGCACUUGUUAGGUGCUCAAUAAA
Equus caballus (horse) is the source of this 1414-nucleotide long non-coding RNA. RefSeq lists it as uncharacterized. NCBI's taxonomy places the organism in Eukaryota, Metazoa, Chordata, Mammalia, Perissodactyla, Equidae. The record is from RefSeq and is a predicted model, not a curated record.